RNAcentral lists this ribosomal RNA (301 nucleotides) under uncultured bacterium. RNAcentral describes it as "partial 16S ribosomal RNA". It matches the Rfam family "Bacterial small subunit ribosomal RNA", at positions 509 to 807 of the family's 1533-position model. The record is from RNAcentral.
CAGCCGCCGCGGUAAUACGAAGGGGGCUAGCGUUGUUCGGAAUUACUGGGCGUAAAGCGCACGUAGGCGGAUAUUUAAGUCAGGGGUGAAAUCCCAGAGCUCAACUCUGGAACUGCCUUUGAUACUGGGUAUCUUGAGUAUGGAAGAGGUGAGUGGAAUUCCGAGUGUAGAGGUGAAAUUCGUAGAUAUUCGGAGGAACACCAGUGGCGAAGGCGGCUCACUGGUCCAUUACUGACGCUGAGGUGCGAAAGCGUGGGGAGCAAGCAGGAUUAGAGACCCCCGUAGUCCCUGUCUCUUAUAC